Molecule: ribosomal RNA, 473 nt
Filed under: uncultured bacterium
Lineage: Bacteria
Description: bacterial SSU rRNA
Rfam family: Bacterial small subunit ribosomal RNA
Source: RNAcentral
CGCUAUCACUCCUACGGGAGGCAGCAGUGGGGAAUAUUGCACAAUGGGCGCAAGCCUGAUGCAGCCAUGCCGCGUGUAUGAAGAAGGCCUUCGGGUUGUAAAGUACUUUCAGCAGUGAGGAAGGUGGAGUCGUUAAUAGCGGCCUCAUUUGACGUUAGCUGCAGAAGAAGCACCGGCUAACUCCGUGCCAGCAGCCGCGGUAAUACGGAGGGUCCGAGCGUUAUCCGGAAUUAUUGGGUUUAAAGGGUCCGUAGGCGGGCCGGUAAGUCAGGGGUGAAAGUCUGUAGCUCAACUAUAGAACUGCCUUUGAUACUGCCGGUCUUGAGUCACGGUGAAGUUGCCGGAAUAUGUGGUGUAGCGGUGAAAUGCAUAGAUAUCACAUAGAACACCGAUUGCGAAGGCAGGUGACUAACCGUGUACUGACGCUGAUGGACGAAAGCGUGGGGAGCAAACAGGAUUAGAUACCCUGGUAG